Long non-coding RNA from Maniola jurtina (meadow brown), 247 nucleotides. RefSeq lists it as uncharacterized. The transcript is spliced from 3 exons. NCBI's taxonomy places the organism in Eukaryota, Metazoa, Arthropoda, Insecta, Lepidoptera, Nymphalidae. The record is from RefSeq and is a predicted model, not a curated record.
UUUUGUAUAUUUGUUACGCGAUUACUCCGCCAAAUAUGAACCGAUUUUGAUAUUUCUUUAUUAGUCUAAGUAGAUCAUACUUCAGAGGUGGCCCAUUUUAGUUUGAUGAAGAUCUGGUGAAUAUCUUCGGAGAUGGAGAACAGAAUUCCUCAAUGAAUAAGACUUAAUUGCUCGCGAUCAGUGUAAUAGCUUAGUAAACAGUGUGUUUUUAAUCAGGCAAAGCAUAUAUUAAUACAGUGGGACCACU